RNAcentral lists this ribosomal RNA (484 nucleotides) under uncultured bacterium. RNAcentral describes it as "partial 16S ribosomal RNA". It matches the Rfam family "Bacterial small subunit ribosomal RNA", at positions 30 to 507 of the family's 1533-position model. The record is from RNAcentral.
AUUGAACGCUGGCGGCAGGCCUAACACAUGCAAGUCGAGCGGAUGAAGGGAGCUUGCUCCUGGAUUCAGCGGCGGACGGGUGAGUAAUGCCUAGGAAUCUGCCUGGUCGUGGGGGAUAACGUCCGGAAACGGGCGCUAAUACCGCAUACGUCCUGAGGUAGAAAGGGGGGGAUCUUCGGACCUCACGCUAUCAGAUGAGCCUAGGUCGGAUUAGCUAGUUGGUGGGGUAAAGGCCUACCAAGGCGACGAUCCGUAACUGGUCUGAGAGGAUGAUCAGUCACACUGGAACUGAGACACGGUCCAGACUCCUACGGGAGGCAGCAGUGGGGAAUAUUGGACAAUGGGCGAAAGCCUGAUCCAGCCAUGCCGCGUGUGUGAAGAAGGUCUUCGGAUUGUAAAGCACUUUAAGUUGGGAGGAAGGGCAGUAAGUUAAUACCUUGCUGUUUUGACGUUACCAACAGAAUAAGCACCGGCUAACUUCGUG